AUGACAGAUGUAUGUGUUAUAGACCAUUCAACUAAAUGUGUUAGAGAUUUCAAUGUUGUAUGUUCUACCAUCCACAAUUCCCCUGCCUUGGGCAGGGGAGUAAGGGCGGCCGCUCUGGCCCCUGACCCAUAUUGUGCAGGCAUAGUGUAUAUACCAUUGCAAUGGUUUAUGUCCUGCCAAACUAGCAAAAAUGAGCAGCCCACCGAGGGUCGAACAUGCCAUCUUGCCAGGGAGGAAGGAAGGAAGGGGGCACAAAAAUGCCUUGUUAGGGAGGAAGUGACAAGGAGUGCCAAUCUACUUUUUUUCAGAGCUCACAUAUUGCCAUACUUGUACUUUUUGAUAGAUGAAAAACAGAUGUGUUUGUGUGGCCAUGGAUAA
RNAcentral lists this ribosomal RNA (378 nucleotides) under Triticum aestivum (bread wheat). RNAcentral's name for it is "partial small subunit ribosomal RNA". The record is from RNAcentral. Lineage: Eukaryota; Viridiplantae; Streptophyta; Magnoliopsida; Poales; Poaceae.